CAGCAGCCGCGGUAAUACGGAGGGGGCUAGCGUUGUUCGGAAUUACUGGGCGUAAAGCGCACGUAGGCGGCUUGGUAAGUUAGAGGUGAAAGCCUGGAGCUCAACUCCAGAAUUGCCUUUAAGACUGCCGAGCUAGCAGGUGAGAGAGGUAAGUGGAAUUCCGAGUGUAGAGGUGAAAUUCGUAGAUAUUCGGAAGAACACCAGUGGCGAAGGCGGCUUACUGGCUCAUACUGGACGCUGAGGUGCGAAAGCGUGGGGAGCAAACAGGAUUAGAUACCCGUGUAGUCCCUGUCUCUUAUAA
RNAcentral lists this ribosomal RNA (301 nucleotides) under uncultured bacterium. RNAcentral describes it as "partial 16S ribosomal RNA". It matches the Rfam family "Bacterial small subunit ribosomal RNA", at positions 509 to 809 of the family's 1533-position model. The record is from RNAcentral.